Molecule: ribosomal RNA, 793 nt
Filed under: uncultured archaeon
Lineage: Archaea
Description: bacterial SSU rRNA
Rfam family: Archaeal small subunit ribosomal RNA
Source: RNAcentral
ACGGCUCAGUAACACGUGGACAACCUGCCCUAAGGUCUGGAAUAACCCCGGGAAACUGGGGAUAAUACCGGAUAAAUCAUAGAUGCUGGAAUGCUCUGUGAUUAAAAGCUCCGGCGCCUUAGGAUGGAUCUGCGGCCUAUCAGGUAGUAGUGGGUGUAAUGUACCUACUAGCCUACGACGGGUACGGGUUGUGAGAGCAAGAGCCCGGAGAUGGAUUCUGAGACAUGAAUCCAGGCCCUACGGGGCGCAGCAGGCGCGAAAACUUUACAAUGCGGGAAACCGCGAUAAGGGGACACUGAGUGCCAGCACCAUGUGUUGGCUGUCCGCAUGUAUAAAUCACAUGUGUCAGCAAGGGCCGGGCAAGACCGGUGCCAGCCGCCGCGGUAACACCGGCGGCCCGAGUGGUGGCCAUUAUUAUUGGGUCUAAAGGGUCCGUAGCCGGUUUGAUCAGUCUUCCGGGAAAUCUGACAGCUCAACUGUUAGGCUUCUGGGGGAUACUGUCAGACUUGGAACCGGGAGAGGUAAGAGGUACUACAGGGGUAGGAGUGAAAUCUUGUAAUCCUUGUGGGACCACCAGUGGCGAAGGCGUCUUACCAGAACGGGUUCGACGGUGAGGGACGAAAGCUGGGGGCACGAACCGGAUUAGAUACCCGGGUAGUCCCAGCCGUAAACGAUGCUCGCUAGGUGUCUGGGAUGGUGCGACCGUUUCAGGUGCCGCAGGGAAGCCGUGAAGCGAGCCACCUGGGAAGUACGGCCGCAAGGCUGAAACUUAAAGGAAUUGGCGGGGGAGCAC